RNAcentral lists this ribosomal RNA (691 nucleotides) under uncultured bacterium. RNAcentral describes it as "bacterial SSU rRNA". It matches the Rfam family "Bacterial small subunit ribosomal RNA", at positions 32 to 715 of the family's 1533-position model. The record is from RNAcentral.
AACGCUAGCUACAGGCUUAACACAUGCAAGUCGAGGGGCAGCAUUGGAGUAGCAAUACUUCUGAUGGCGACCGGCGCACGGGUGAGUAACACGUAUCCAACCUGCCGCUUACUCGGGGAUAGCCUUUCGAAAGAAAGAUUAAUACCCGAUGGUAUAAAGAGUUCGCAUGUUCUCUUUAUUAAAGAAUUUCGGUAAGCGAUGGGGAUGCGUUCCAUUAGAUAGUUGGCGGGGUAACGGCCCACCAAGUCUACGAUGGAUAGGGGUUCUGAGAGGAAGGUCCCCCACAUUGGAACUGAGACACGGUCCAAACUCCUACGGGAGGCAGCAGUGAGGAAUAUUGGUCAAUGGACGAGAGUCUGAACCAGCCAAGUAGCGUGAAGGAUGACUGCCCUAUGGGUUGUAAACUUCUUUUAUAAGGGAAUAAAGUGAGGGACGUGUCCCUUUUUGUAUGUACCUUAUGAAUAAGGAUCGGCUAACUCCGUGCCAGCGGCCGCGGUAAUACGGAGGAUCCAAGCGUUAUCCGGAUUUAUUGGGUUUAAAGGGAGCGUAGGUUGACAUAUAAGUCAGCUGUGAAAGUUUACGGCUCAACCGUGAAAUUGCAGUUGAUACUGUAUGUCUUGAGUGUACAAGAGGUGGGCGGAAUUCGUGGUGUAGCGGUGAAAUGCUUAGAUAUCACGAAGAACUCCGAUUG